Molecule: ribosomal RNA, 558 nt
Filed under: uncultured bacterium
Lineage: Bacteria
Description: bacterial SSU rRNA
Rfam family: Bacterial small subunit ribosomal RNA
Source: RNAcentral
GUCGCGCGCGAAGCGAUCUUCGGGUCGUGAGUAGAGCGGCGCACGGGUGCGUAAGACGCGGGUGACCUAUCCGAGAGGCGGGGAUAACCCUUCGAAAGAGGGGCUAAUACCGGAUGAGCCCACAGGCGGAAACGCCCGGGGGCAAAGGGUGCGGUUUACUAGCCGCAUGUCUUCUUGGCGGGGCCCACGGCCUAUCAGCUAGUUGGUGGGGUAAUGGCCUACCAAGGCGAAGACGGGUAGCUGGUCUGAGAGGAUGGCCAGCCACACGGGGACUGAGACACGGCCCCGACUCCUACGGGAGGCAGCAGUGGGGAAUAUUGGGCAAUGGGCGCAAGCCUGACCCAGCGACGCCGCGUGGGUGAUGAAGGCCUUCGGGUCGUAAAGCCCUGUCGGGUGGAAAGAACGAUGGGGGAGCAAAUAGCUUCUUCAUGUGACGGUACCACCGAAGGAAGCACCGGCCAAUUCCGUGCCAGCAGCCGCGGUAAGACGGAAGGUGCAAGCGUUGCUCGGAAUCACUGGGCGUAAAGGGUGCGUAGGCGGCCUGGUAAGUCUGGCGUG